AGAGUGAACGCUGGCGGCAGGCCUAACACAUGCAAGUCGAACGGCAGCACAGGGGAGCUUGCUCCCUGGGUGGCGAGUGGCGGACGGGUGAGGAAUGCGUCGGAAUCUGCCUUUUCGUGGGGGAUAACGUAGGGAAACUUACGCUAAUACCGCAUGCGACCCAUCACCGGGAGGUGUUGGGUGAAAGCGGGGGACCUUCGGGCCUCGCGCGGAAAGAUGAGCCGACGCCGGAUUAGCUAGUUGGCGGGGUAACGCCCACCAAGGCGACGACUCCGUAGCGUGGUCUGAGAGGAUGAUCGAGCCAACACGUGGAACUGAAGACCGACGGUCCAGACCUUCCGACGGGAGCAGCGAGGUAGGGAAUUAGUAGGAACAAGGUGGGCGACAACG
This 390-nucleotide ribosomal RNA is filed under the name uncultured soil bacterium. RNAcentral describes it as "bacterial SSU rRNA". It matches the Rfam family "Bacterial small subunit ribosomal RNA", at positions 26 to 385 of the family's 1533-position model. The record is from RNAcentral.